GUGCUCACUUUGGCAGCACAUAUACUAAAAUUGGAACGAUACAGAGAACAUUAGCAUGGCCCCUGCACAAGGAUGACACGCAAAUUUGUGAAGCGUUCCAUAUUUUU
This 107-nucleotide small nuclear RNA is filed under the name Mus caroli (Ryukyu mouse). Lineage: Eukaryota; Metazoa; Chordata; Mammalia; Rodentia; Muridae. The record is from RNAcentral.